GCGGUGGUCGUCUAGCAUGGUCUAGGACAGCAGCCUGCCACGCUGCUGACCCGGGUUCAAAUCCCGGCCACCGCACCA
RNAcentral lists this transfer RNA (78 nucleotides) under archaeon HR04. RNAcentral's name for it is "tRNA-Gly". It matches the Rfam family "tRNA". Rfam says of the family: Transfer RNA (tRNA) molecules are approximately 80 nucleotides in length. Their secondary structure includes four short double-helical elements and three loops (D, anti-codon, and T loops). Further hydrogen bonds mediate the characteristic L-shaped molecular structure. tRNAs have two regions of fundamental functional importance: the anti-codon, which is responsible for specific mRNA codon recognition, and the 3' end, to which the tRNAs corresponding amino acid is attached (by aminoacyl-tRNA synthetases). tRNAs cope with the degeneracy of the genetic code in two manners: having more than one tRNA (with a specific anti-codon) for a particular amino acid; and 'wobble' base-pairing, i.e. permitting non-standard base-pairing at the 3rd anti-codon position. The record is from RNAcentral. RNAcentral also lists the same sequence under 2 other names.